GGGGGGAUUCCCGAGCGGUCAAAGGGGUCAGACUGUAAAUCUGAUGGCUACGCCUUCACAGGUUCGAAUCCUGUUCCCCCCA
Molecule: transfer RNA, 82 nt
Filed under: Planctomycetaceae bacterium
Lineage: Bacteria; Pseudomonadati; Planctomycetota; Planctomycetia; Planctomycetales; Planctomycetaceae
Also listed under: 4 other names
Description: tRNA-Tyr
Rfam family: tRNA
About the family: Transfer RNA (tRNA) molecules are approximately 80 nucleotides in length. Their secondary structure includes four short double-helical elements and three loops (D, anti-codon, and T loops).
Source: RNAcentral